UACAGAGGUCCUGAGCGUUGUUCGGAUUCACUGGGCGUAAAGGGUGCGUAGGUGGUGAGGUAAGUCGGAUGUGAAAUCUCCGGGCUCAACCCGGAAAUGGCAUUGGAAACUACCUUGCUGGAGGAUUUGAGGGGGGAUUGGAAUACUUGGUGUAGCAGUGAAAUGCGUAGAUAUCAAGUGGAACACCAGUGGCGAAGGCGAAUCCCUGGAAAAUACCUGACACUGAGGCACGAAAGCUAGGGGAGCAAACAGG
Molecule: ribosomal RNA, 253 nt
Filed under: uncultured bacterium
Lineage: Bacteria
Description: partial 16S ribosomal RNA
Rfam family: Bacterial small subunit ribosomal RNA
Source: RNAcentral